GAAGUUGAAUGAUGUAUGGCUGGAAGA
RNAcentral lists this non-coding RNA (27 nucleotides) under Cricetulus griseus (Chinese hamster). The record is from RNAcentral. Lineage: Eukaryota; Metazoa; Chordata; Mammalia; Rodentia; Cricetidae.